GUGGUAGUGGGGUAUCUUGAACAUCUUCCUUUUUAUCUGCACUGAGAACAAUUCUCAGGUUACGGAUCCAAUCCGAGUAGUUUGUUCCAUUCAACUUGUCCUUCUCAAGGACCAAACGCAAAGCAAAUGGUGUGAUGUUGCUAGGUGCCAUUUAAUCUACAACAAAAGCAAUGCAAAAUACACUAAGAAAAACGUAUCCAUGAUAGAGCAAAUCACAUUAAACUAUUUUAACAGAAUCUAC
This 241-nucleotide long non-coding RNA is filed under the name Setaria viridis. RNAcentral describes it as "long non-coding RNA (SVIR_LNC008874)". Lineage: Eukaryota; Viridiplantae; Streptophyta; Magnoliopsida; Poales; Poaceae. The record is from RNAcentral.